This is a non-coding RNA of Paramuricea clavata, 89 nucleotides long. NCBI's taxonomy places the organism in Eukaryota, Metazoa, Cnidaria, Anthozoa, Malacalcyonacea, Plexauridae. The record is from the annotation of a GenBank genome assembly.
AAGCUGUGAUGAAAUUUUUGUCUAGACUUGUUUAGAUAAAUUUUGAUCUAAACAAGUCUAGACAAAAAUUUCAUCACAGCUUGAAAAAG